GACAGUCUGACGCUCACUUGUUUACACACGAGACGUAUUUACCUGAUUCAGCGCUUAAAGUUUGUUGUUUCUUCCACGAAGUGCCUUGGAAACAUUCUCUUACCCCACGUCCCCCGUACCAGAGAGGAGUUGUACAGUCUAAUGGCGUGUGGGACAAAGGAGUUUUUGAGUCUAUUAGUCCUGCACUUGGGAUGAAGCAGUCUAGAACUGAACAGGCUCCUCUGGCUACGGAUAAAACUAUACAGAGGGUGACUGGCAUCAUCCAGGAUGCUUACUAGUUUGUCAACAGUCUUCUCUGCCACCGUCACCAGUGAGUCCAGUUUCAUUCCCAUUGUAGAACCGGCACUUCUGUCACAACAUGGCUUGGACGUGGAUUGUUUCCUCGACACAGAUGAGAAUCAGCACGAGCGAGGCGUGGACGAGGUAAUAAAGGAAGAUCUCCAUCGAGACAGAGAGACUUUUAAAACUGAAGAAAGAUAAGGAAGACUUCUAUAAACAAGUUAUCGAUGCUUUUGAUCAGAAGGAGCUGCGCAUGGACUUCAUUUAUAAGUAAAGCUGAGUUUCCCAGUUCGUCCCAGAUACGCCCCUGCUUGCGCUGGGCGCAGCACACCCACGCAGCGACAAAGCUGCAGACAAUUGCAAAUCAGCACACCUGAACCUGACGAGAGGUACCGGCAUAAAAGCCAGCGGACCCACGAGACCUUUGCCAGAACGUAGCCAAUCUUUCACAUGUCUUCCCUGUUGCCUGUGAUCGUUUGCCUCCCGCGACCCUCGACCCCAGCUUGGACUCGGACAUUGUUGCCUCUCUCCAACCCCCUGCUGACUACCUCUUCGUCUUGCCCCUUGGAUUUGAUGAAAUAUUCCCACAACACGCAUCAACAACAACCACUGGUAAAACUUACAUUGUUAAUUCUACACAUUGUCCACACUCAUUCACUUGUGGUAGCAUACACACCCCACACACACUCUUCAAGGUCUUCAAUAAACCUGGUAAACCGCA
Long non-coding RNA from Nerophis ophidion (straightnose pipefish), 1000 nucleotides. RefSeq lists it as uncharacterized. The transcript is spliced from 5 exons. The record is from RefSeq and is a predicted model, not a curated record. NCBI's taxonomy places the organism in Eukaryota, Metazoa, Chordata, Actinopteri, Syngnathiformes, Syngnathidae.